Molecule: long non-coding RNA, 572 nt
Filed under: Equus caballus (horse)
Lineage: Eukaryota; Metazoa; Chordata; Mammalia; Perissodactyla; Equidae
Description: lncRNA (ENSECAG00000054255.1)
Source: RNAcentral
GAGCUUCCUGGUUGGUGAACGCAUGGAAGUGCUGGGAGAGUGGCGUGCUCUGAGAGCAAGGCAGCUCCGCGUCCCUUCCCUGUACCUUGCCCUGUGCAUCUCUUCCAUCUGGCUGCCCUGAGUUAUAUCCUUUUAUAAUACGCUGGUGAUCUAGUAAAUGGGGAUAAUGAGGCACAGACAGCCUGAGGAAUUGGCCCCACAUCAGACAAGAUGGAAUGCGGUUGGGGUCUUUUUUGGUUUCCAUCCAAGAAUUAGCCCUGAGCUAACUGCUGCCAAUCCUCCUCUUUUUGCUGAGGAAGACUGGCCCUGAGCUAACAUCUGUGCCCAUCUUCCUCUACUUUAUAUGUGGGAUGCCUACCACAGCAUGGCUUGCCAAGCAGUGCCAUGUCCACACCCAGGAUCCAAACCAGCAAACCCCGGGCCGCCGAAACAGAACGUGCUUAAUGAAGCAGAACUUAACCGCUUCACCACCGGGCCGGCCCUGAACUCAUUUAUUAAUUUGAGUAGUGUUUUAGUAGAUUCUUUAGGACUUUUUGUAUACAAGAUCAUGUCAUCUAUGAAUAAAGAUAGUU